GUAGGUGGCAAGCGUUGUCCGGAAUUAUUGGGCGUAAAGCGCGCGCAGGCGGUUCUUUAAGUCUGAUGUGAAAGCCCACGGGCUCAACCGUGGAGGGUCAUUGGAAACUGGAGAACUUGAGUACAGAAGAGGAAAGCGGAAUUCCACGUGUAGCGGUGAAAUGCGUAGAGAUGUGGAGGAACACCAGUGGCGAAGGCGGCUUUCUGGUCUGUAACUGACGCUGAGGCGCGAAAGCGUGGGGAGCAACCAGGAUUAGAUACCCUGGUAGUCCACGCCGUAAACGAUGAGUGCUAAGUGUUAGGGGGUUUCCGCCCCUUAGUGCUGCAGCUAACGCAUUAAGCACUCCGCCUGGGGAGUACGGCCGCAAAGGCUG
RNAcentral lists this ribosomal RNA (373 nucleotides) under uncultured organism. RNAcentral describes it as "partial 16S ribosomal RNA". It matches the Rfam family "Bacterial small subunit ribosomal RNA", at positions 527 to 896 of the family's 1533-position model. The record is from RNAcentral.